Molecule: ribosomal RNA, 386 nt
Filed under: Kurthia sp. MGL24
Lineage: Bacteria; Bacillati; Bacillota; Bacilli; Caryophanales; Caryophanaceae
Description: bacterial SSU rRNA
Rfam family: Bacterial small subunit ribosomal RNA
Source: RNAcentral
UACGCGAAGAACCUUACCAGGUCUUGACAUCCCAAUGACCGUCCUAGAGAUAGGAUUUUCCCUUCGGGGACAUUGGUGACAGGUGGUGCAUGGUUGUCGUCAGCUCGUGUCGUGAGAUGUUGGGUUAAGUCCCGCAACGAGCGCAACCCUUAUUUUUAGUUGCCAUCAUUUAGUUGGGCACUCUAAGGAGACUGCCGGUGACAAACCGGAGGAAGGUGGGGAUGACGUCAAAUCAUCAUGCCCCUUAUGACCUGGGCUACACACGUGCUACAAUGGACGAUACAAAGAGUCGCAAACUCGCGAGGGUAAGCUAAUCUCAUAAAAUCGUUCUCAGUUCGGAUUGUAGGCUGCAACUCGCCUGCAUGAAGCCGGAAUCGCUAGUAAUC